Long non-coding RNA from Gorilla gorilla gorilla (western lowland gorilla), 2990 nucleotides. RefSeq lists it as uncharacterized. The record is from RefSeq and is a predicted model, not a curated record. NCBI's taxonomy places the organism in Eukaryota, Metazoa, Chordata, Mammalia, Primates, Hominidae. The transcript has 4 exons.
CACCCAGGCUGGAGUACAGUGACAUGAUCUCGGCUCACUGCAACCAACCUCCUCCUCCUGAGUUCAAGUGAUUCUACUGUCUCAGCCUCCCGAGUAGCUGGGACUACAGGCACCUGCCACCAUGCUUGGCUAAUUUUUUGUAUUUUUAGUAGAGACGGGGUUUCAUCGUGUUAGCCAGGAACGUCUUGAUCUCCUGACCUUGUGAUCCGCCGGACUCGACCUCCCAAAGUGCUGGGAUUACAGGCGUGCGUCACUGGACCCGGCGGGAAUCAUCUUUUAUACUAUGUGCCUUGCCUCCCCUUGGCCUUCCACCAUGAUUGUAAGUUUCCUGAGGCCUCACCAGCUAUGCAGAACUCAAAUGAGGUCUAUCCAGCUGGCCCAGAAGGGAGGAGAAAGCCCCAGGUGCCACAGCAGGAUAGACGAUGUCCUCAUCUAACAUCUUUCAUAACUGUACAUCCAUGGUCAGAAGAGAAAAAUCGCCCUACACAGAAGUGAAUGGAUGCCGUACUCCCCAAAAUUCAGCUGGAAAAAGAAGAUGUGAUGGCAGGCGAAGCAGCAGCAACCAUCAUAGACAACUAUCCAGGUAAAGCGAAUAGCACCAGAGAGACCUCAGCCCUGGCAGCCUUGAACCACUGGACCAGUACCAACAAACCCCACAUCUGGAUUUUACUGUGUCCAAAGAGAAACAUCUUCUACUUGUUUCAGAUACCGUUUGGCAGAAUUUUCUGUUACUCACAUGUGGAUGCCGUGUCUAACUGACACAUCAAGUAACCAAAGCCUGACUUGGGUGGUAGAGGUUACAAUGAAGAAGGGUGGGCCGAAUCGGGGUAUAUUUUUGAAGGAAGAAACAAUGGGACUUCUUGAUGACCUAGAAGUCAGUUGUGGUGGUGGGAGAUGGCAGAUAUAAAAAGUACAAGACUUUGGCUUGAGAAUUUAUGAGAAUGGGAAGGAAAAACCAGAAGAGGAGCAGGUUUGAAGAUUAAAAGCAAGGAUUCCAUUUUUGAUAUUUCAAAGUUGAGGUGCCUAAGAGGCAGUCUCCACUCCUGUGGUUUCCAGGAGACAGGAUCUUGCUGGCCCUGCCCCACCCCUUCAUUGACUCCUUCUCAGGGAGUGAUGAGCCAGCCUGCCCAGGUGGAGUGCCUGUUCUGCUCACCUACUCCCUUGUUUAGGCAUCCAAAGUGUAGCCUCCAGGUAAUGUGGCUGGGGCCUUCAGUGCUGCCUGAGGCUGGAUGCUCAACACAACGUCCAACAUUCAGAAGCCAAUUAUUGCUGUAAAUCUCCACGUCAUUUUCCAAUUUGGUGGUAAUACCAAAAAGUAUCUGUAGUCCCACAUGCUACACUUUUCUGUCCAUCUCUCAGUUGCUUCAAAUAUGGGCCAACUUACACCUAUAUAAUGACAGGUAGACAUUUUGCAUUCUUUCAGCCACAUCACAGGGGCAUUUUAAUAGGUGCCUCUUUCAAUAGUUACUGCCAAAGAAAACGAAGUUCUCACCUAUUCAUGGCUACCCUCUUAUCUUUAUUGUUAGAGCCAAGGGUUGAGUCUUCCUUGCCCGUUAGGACUAUAAACUGCAUGGAAAUUAGAACUUAUUUAAAAUUGAUGCCAGUGAGCAAAAGAUAAAAACAUGCAGUAAUCAUUUCACUGUUCAGGCAUAUGACUUCUUACCAUAACUCUGAAGAAAGUGUAUUAUUAGAAUUGUUUUACUAUGCUGUCUCUCAUUUUUUUCUACCAGUUCACUCUUACCUUCCCUCCAUCCACUGAUCCAUUCUCUUCUUCCCUCCUUUAAAAACUGCUGUAAAUAUUGCUUUUUAAAAAUUCUAUCCCUAAUAACCUUAGAGUUUCUAGACAUACACUCUUAAAUAAAGGGUCAUUCCUCAAGGCUGGUGAAUCUAGGUAAUGUGGUCUGGUAUCAGUCUGUGUGAAGACAGAAGUCUUAUUUUUCCUAUUCCUUUUCUUUAAAGACAGAUUGGUCUUAUACUGGAUAUUUGAUCACUUAUCAGAAUUUACAUUUGGGAAUUUGUUAUAUCAUAUGCUACGCUGAUGUAAAACCUGUCUUUUGAUAAAGUCAUGUAAGAUACUUUUACAUUUAAGAUCUCAGUUUUGCCCUCUCUUCCAUCCUAUCCUGACAGAUACAUUAUUCCUUGUGUUUGCACUGAUGAAAGAGGUGAUAGGCAUUUUGGCACACUAUAUCACAGAAAAUAGUACUUAUCUUCAGAAUGGAAAUAUACAUCCCAUAUGUCACUACCACAUAGGGCCCUGCACCUGGUAUGGAAUGGAGCAUGGCAUUGUUACAGUGUCAUUCAAUGGCUUUUACCAAGCAAGAGAACAUCGGCAGCUGUGAUGCAUGAUGCCGCUGUGACAUUAACUACAGACACAGAUAGAGUGCCCAUAAAAAAAAAUACACCCUUUUUUUGAAUAGAGCCCUGGGUAAUUACCCUGACUAUUGUUCUAAGAGAAAGCCCCACUUACAAUCCUUCAUCAUUUAGACUCUGGACAUAAAAAAAAAAAUCACUGGCAUUAAGUAGUUAAGGCAAUUUGCUUUCCAAAUGAAGAAAGGACAAAAAAAUCUCUACUCUUGAGUUGCCCAUUUUGACAGCCACAGCUCUCCCAGAUAAAAGAUCCUGAGGAGUUUUUCUGAUAGUACCCUUUUCCUACACAGAGCCCGAGGAAAAUGUGUUCAAGUUUGCUUUCUACUGUCAGCACUAGGAGGACAUAGGGGUCUGUGCGGACAGCCUGCAGGUGAAGGGUGGCGGCCCUGCAGCUAUGAUAUGAACCGUGGUGGGUCCAGCAGGCACAGAUGCAUCUAGCUGCCCUGCCCUGGUGGCCAGGCUUGCUGUUCUGAGGAAAAGCUACAGAAACGUUGCUCACCUUGAGAAGUAAACUCUCAGGGCAGGGUCCGUGUUCCUCCAAGUUGCCACAGAACAUGAAAUAGGUUAUGAAGUUUGCCAUUCAAUAUGGAGUAAAAAUGGGAAAUUAUUGAACUACUUACCCC